RNAcentral lists this ribosomal RNA (630 nucleotides) under uncultured bacterium. RNAcentral describes it as "bacterial SSU rRNA". It matches the Rfam family "Bacterial small subunit ribosomal RNA", at positions 89 to 754 of the family's 1533-position model. The record is from RNAcentral.
AGAGGAGCGGCAGACGGGUGAGUAACGCGUGGGAAUCUACCGUGCCCUGCGGAAUAGCUCCGGGAAACUGGAAUUAAUACCGCAUACGCCCUUCGGGGGAAAGAUUUAUCGGGGUAUGAUGAGCCCGCGUUGGAUUAGCUAGUUGGUGGGGUAAAGGCCUACCAAGGCGACGAUCCAUAGCUGGUCUGAGAGGAUGAUCAGCCACAUUGGGACUGAGACACGGCCCAAACUCCUACGGGAGGCAGCAGUGGGGAAUAUUGGACAAUGGGCGCAAGCCUGAUCCAGCCAUGCCGCGUGAGUGAUGAAGGCCCUAGGGUUGUAAAGCUCUUUCACCGGUGAAGAUAAUGACGGUAACCGGAGAAGAAGCCCCGGCUAACUUCGUGCCAGCAGCCGCGGUAAUACGAAGGGGGCUAGCGUUGUUCGGAAUUACUGGGCGUAAAGCGCACGUAGGCGGAUAUUUAAGUCAGGGGUGAAAUCCCAGAGCUCAACUCUGGAACUGCCUUUGAUACUGGGUAUCUCGAGUAUGGAAGAGGUAAGUGGAAUUCCGAGUGUAGAGGUGAAAUUCGUAGAUAUUCGGAGGAACACCAGUGGCGAAGGCGGCUUACUGGUCCAUUACUGACGCUGAGGUGC